RNAcentral lists this ribosomal RNA (547 nucleotides) under uncultured bacterium. RNAcentral describes it as "partial 16S ribosomal RNA". It matches the Rfam family "Bacterial small subunit ribosomal RNA", at positions 355 to 908 of the family's 1533-position model. The record is from RNAcentral.
UGGGGGAUAUUGCACAAUGGGCGAAAGCCUGAUGCAGCAACGCCGCGUGAGGGACGACGGCCUUCGGGUUGUAAACCUCUUUAGCAAGGAAGGAGCGAAAGUGACGGUACUUGCAGAAAAAGCGCCGGCUAACUACGUGCCAGCAGCCGCGGUAAUACGUAGGGCGCAAGCGUUAUCCGGAAUUAUUGGGCGUAAAGAGCUCGUAGGCGGUUUGUCGCGUCUGCUGUGAAAACCCGAGGCUCAACCUCGGGCCUGCAGUGGGUACGGGCAGACUAGAGUGCGGUAGGGGAGAUUGGAACUCCUGGUGUAGCGGUGGAAUGCGCAGAUAUCAGGAAGAACACCGAUGGCGAAGGCAGAUCUCUGGGCCGUAACUGACGCUGGGGAGCGAAAGGGUGGGGAGCAAACAGGCUUAGAUACCCUGGUAGUCCACCCCGUAAACGUUGGGAACCUAGUUGUGGGGGUCCAUUCCACGGAUUCCGUGACGCAGCUGAACGCAUUAAGUUCCCCCGCCUGGGGAGUACGGCCGCAAGGCUAAAACCUCAAAUGG